GAAUGUGAUGAACUAGCUCAGCAUGCUGAGGCUUUGAAAGAAGAAAAUGCUUCUCUCCGUUCAGAAUUGAGCCGGAUCAGCAUGGAUUAUGAACAACUAAUCUUUGAGAAUGCAGCCCUCAAGGAGCAACUUGGAGAAGUACCUGAGAACGAGAAUCUUAGGUCCAGCCGGGAUGAUCAGCAUGUGGGUAAUGAGUAAUGAGACUCUGUAGAGGGUACCGACGCAUUAGGAUCUAACAUCUUGCUCCAUGCUGCUUUACAGGAAGAUAACCUUGCCAAAUACAAGGUCAAAUUCUUGUUUGUAUUAUGAAGGUGAUCAUUUAUAGUAUUACAAUCUAUUAAAGAGAUACUACUAUUGCUAAUAAUUAUACUUCCAAGUAUUUAACCUCAAGUAAAUUCAAUUAGUUUUUGGUAAAGAGAUAACAUAUAACCACAAGCAAACUAUUAUGACAAACUAGCAUAAUUAUAUGACUAGGAAGCCACCUUCUAUGAAAGAUUCUUCUCAAAUCAUAUAACAUGAGUGUCUAAACUGAAGCUUUAUUCCUGUGAUAGAUGGUUACAUUGUGCUAACAUGAGUGUCUAAACUGAAGCUUUAAUCCUGUCAUAGAUGGUUACAUUGUGCUAAUCUCCUAAAGAAGGAAAACCAUAAAAAGUCUAAUAGCUAAUCUUUUUUUGCUAGCUGGAACAUUGCUUUUGGCUCUUUUCUUUCCUGAGAGAAAAUUGGAGCAUUCCUCUCCCUCCAUGUGUACUCAGAAACAAUGGAGCAACCCCAAGCAACAUGUUAAAGCUAUUUCCUUCUUCUCACACUAAGCAUAGCCAAUCCCUCCAUGAAUACCAUCUUUACUUCCAAUUGGCAAUGCCAAGUCAAGAACACAGUUGAGUGAGAAACUCCAUGGACCAAUGACAGCAAAGAACAAAUGAGUAGAUUCUAUAGCAUUUUCAGGAUCAUUAACUGGAAUAUUCAUCAUUAACAAUAUGUCCCUAGUGAGUAAAUUCUUCUGAAGGGUCAACCAGAAAAAUAAAUCUAUGCUCUGGGACACUGCUUUUGCUCCAAGUGUUCCAUGAGAAUCUGUCAUUUGCUUGUUGGAAUCUGUCAUUUGCUUGGUGGAAUCCGUCAUUUGCUUCAUCGCCACUAAGCCACUUGUAUCCAUCCCUUAUGUUAUAGAUUCCUGAUAUAUUCUUCUUCCAAUUUUCUUUUCAAUAAUUCUCCCAGAGAAAUUCUCCACAUUUCCUCUCAAUUUUCUUGAGCAACUUUUAGGAAUCAGGAAUAUCUUUGCCCAAGAUUCAAGUAAAGGCAUAAGCAUCUGCCCAUGUAGGAUACAUGUCUAGUUUUCUAUGUAUUCAUUCUAUCUGUUACCUUCUGUACCAAAGCAUCACAGUCACUAUUUGACCAUACAUGUGGAGAAAUUGGCACUCCUAAGUAUUUCAUAGGAAAACCUGCACAUUGAAAACCAGUUUCAUGUAAAAUGCUUGUUCUGAUCUCUUUUUAACUCCAGCAAGGUAAAUACCAUUGCGACACGAAUUGCAACUGUUGCAGUGUGAAUUUUUGUGUGAUUAAAACAGUAUUUUUGAAUUUGAUGCGGCCAGACGUGUCCCGAUGCUGUUGUGUUG
Lupinus albus (white lupine) is the source of this 1610-nucleotide non-coding RNA. The record is from the annotation of a GenBank genome assembly. NCBI's taxonomy places the organism in Eukaryota, Viridiplantae, Streptophyta, Magnoliopsida, Fabales, Fabaceae.